This 31-nucleotide non-coding RNA is filed under the name Homo sapiens (human). Lineage: Eukaryota; Metazoa; Chordata; Mammalia; Primates; Hominidae. The record is from RNAcentral.
UGGGAGAAGAGUCAAGAUUCGACAUCUACCU